UACAGAGGUCUCAAGCGUUGUUCGGAUUCAUUGGGCGUAAAGGGUGCGUAGGUGGCGCGGUAAGUCGGUUGUGAAAUUUCGGAGCUUAACUCCGAAACUGCAUUCGAUACUGCCGUGCUUGAGGACUGGAGAGGAGACUGGAAUUUACGGUGUAGCAGUGAAAUGCGUAGAGAUCGUAAGGAAGACCAGUGGCGAAGGCGGGUCUCUGGACAGUUCCUGACACUGAGGCACGAAGGCCAGGGGAGCAAACGGG
Molecule: ribosomal RNA, 253 nt
Filed under: uncultured bacterium
Lineage: Bacteria
Description: partial 16S ribosomal RNA
Rfam family: Bacterial small subunit ribosomal RNA
Source: RNAcentral